CUUUCCCAGCUGUACUGGGAAUUUAGUGAUUGGAGCCUAAGCCCAGACAAUAGCCUUGAGGUUUUAUUGGCUCUUGAGGUGUCACACUGCUUGACAACUGUCCCUCGUCUCCUGCAGCAGUUGAGCGCCACCAGUCUGCUACUUAGAGAUUCCCCUCUAAAGUUUUAAGCUUUUUUUUUUCCAUCAGCAAACAUUUGUUGCCCCAGGCACUGGUGAAGACAUUGGGGAUAUAAAGAAGAGUGUGACAAGAAAAGUUAACUGGAGAGCCCGGUGUGGUGAUGCACCGCUGUAAUCCCAGCCCUCGGGAGACUGAAGCAGGAGGAUUGCCAAAAGUUCAAGGGCAUGCCUGGUUUAUUUUGUUUUAUUUAUGUAUUUUCUGGAGACAAGGGCUCAUCACACUGCCUAAGCUGGUCAAGCUCAUGAGCAGAGCGACCCUCCUGCCUCAGCAUUGUGUGAACUUCUGAGGGAGGUAAAAGAAGCAUCUUCUUCAGAACCGAGAGGGCGCCCAGGGCCUGAAGAACACCAGGCAUGAGUGGAGCUUGGCAAGGAAACGAGGGCAACUUCCGGCUGCAAUGCUGAAGUCAUCAACUCCCUGUGCCAGACUACUGGCUUCACCAGGCUCUAAUGAAAACGGCCAAAGCUGGGACAAAGGGAAGAUGGUCCCCAGGGAAGGCUGGUGUGCGCCCCUCCCAGCCGUCCUUAAGGGGACCCCAGAGUCUUGGUGAGCGCUGUCCAGCCACGGGGUGGGUGACUGUGUUGUGCUGCAGUCUGGCAGGGGCCACUGGACAGCUAAACAGGGGCCCACGAUGAGAUGGACCCGCUUUGGGGAGGGAUCAGAGGACAAUUCUACUACACUCAGCCUUCUCGAAACCUGA
This is a long non-coding RNA of Heterocephalus glaber (naked mole-rat), 875 nucleotides long. The record is from Ensembl. Lineage: Eukaryota; Metazoa; Chordata; Mammalia; Rodentia; Bathyergidae.